Non-coding RNA from Acipenser ruthenus (sterlet), 1758 nucleotides. Lineage: Eukaryota; Metazoa; Chordata; Actinopteri; Acipenseriformes; Acipenseridae. The record is from the annotation of a RefSeq genome assembly.
UAAUAAAAAGGUCUAAUUAAGCAAAUGAUCAGUUGAAUGAAGGGUCUGGUUCAGUGAUGGAGAGCUUAGUUCGGAUGAAAACCAGCAGACACAGGGGGUCCGGAUGACCGGGGCUGGGAAACACUGCGCUAGAAAAAUAACACUCUUAAAAUAGAAUUAGCUGGAACCAAUCAGCGAGUUCACAACUUUGUUCCCCGUCUGUUUUCGUUGCAAUUGGUAUAAGUUAGUACGCAGCUGGGGAUGAUCCCGAGAUUGUACCGUAUAUUAGCCAGUCUGCAGCUUAGUGCACAGCUCCGUACUGAAUCUACAAUUUUUCUUUUUCUCAGUGCAAAUCCCGCUUAUUAUUUCGCUCGGGUCGGAGAGACGGUUAAUGUCCCCUGUGUCUUCGAUUGGAAACUCGAAUCUACCUAUCGACUUCGCUGUUUCCGAGACAACGCAAGCGGAGGACUGAGCGAGCCGUUCCCUCGUGAAUGCGGAGAUCCGGACUCCCAAUGCAGGAUCACCAGCACCGUAGAGAGCAAUAGAGUCACGCUAACAAUCCGGAACACGCAGAGAAACGAUAGCGGGCGAUAUUACUGCGCUGAAGAAGUUAUCAGCUCACUGAGAUUCUCAAACGAGUCAGUUGUGAUCGUGUCUGGAGUUUCAGAUGAUUCCUCUGUGAAUCGGUCAGUGUUUAUCCUGGCCCCACUGGCUGUCUCCGGCAGCGCGCUCGAUUCUCAGGCGACCCUGACAUUAGUGUGUCUAAUCCGGGGCCUCUCCUCGCCCUCGGUCCGGGUCCGGUGGUUCAUCUCCGGUAACUUCGCGGCGGAGAAAACGCCGAGCUCCGGGAUCAAAGUGAAGGAUGGCGGAGAGGGACAGGGAGACGGAGAGAGCUACGCCGCUACGAGCCGCCUGACAAUCCCGGUGGAGACGUGGAGAAGCGGGACUGAGUGCACAUGCGAAGCGCAGCUGGACAGGAACACUUCUAUCCGCAGAGGGAAUGUUUCAUACGCUGGGAUUCACGGGGCAGGUCUGGUUGCAGAGCGGUGCCUGGUUCAGUACGCCGUGUUCUCCGGGGUCUCCCUCCUCGCUCUCUCCGCGGCUCUCUGCGGCUGCGCGCUGUGGACCCGCCGUCGCUUCAAACCAGCGUCCACUGAAGACUCCACGCGUGUAACUAACAAAAGGACCCCCGGCAGCGGAGAUGCAAAGAGGAGAGAUGAAGAGGACAACCUGGUCACCUACGCGAGCUUGGACUUUGAAUCCCAGAAGAACAGAAAGAAGAGACGCACAUAAUAAUAAUAAUAAUAGUAAUAAUAAUAAUAAUGAAUCCUUUGGAGCGUUUUGAUGUUAGUUUUGCGCCUUGAUAUAAUUUUUCAACAGAAGGUUUUUUUAUUAUUUUAUUUUUUUCUAGCUUGCUUGUGAUUUGUAACGGAUGCAAAGUUCAAACGAUUAAUAUCUGUUUAAAAUGAUCAUUAUCAGGGGAAGUCUGAUGGUCAGCUGUCCUCAUACCCCAUUCCUCAGCUCCAAGUUUUGAAUCGUUAUCCAAACUGACCAAACAUUUUGCAACGCCCUGUAGAAUUAACAAAUGUGGACUUCAUAAAGUCGAAUGAAACCGGCUGAAUAAUGAAUCAUAUUUAAUUACACACCACUUUGUUAUUUUCCCAUACAAACUGACAAAAAGUUGAAAAAUGUGACAUAAUAUGUGAAAUAAUAUACCAGUAUUAUGGCUUCCUAAUGAUAGACUUUUUUCUAUAUCAUUUAAUAGUUUCUUUGAUGACA